GAUAUGUGAAUACAUAGCAUAUCAGAAGGCACACCCGGAGAACUGAAACAUCUUAGUACCCGGAGGAAGAGAAAGAAAAUUCGAUUCCCUUAGUAGCGGCGAGCGAAACGGGAAGAGCCCAAACCAACAAGCUUGCUUGUUGGGGUUGUAGGACACUCUAUACGGAGUUACAAAGGACGACAUUAGACGAAUCAUCUGGAAAGAUGAAUCAAAGAAGGUAAUAAUCCUGUAGUCGAAAAUGUUGUCUCUCUUGAGUGGAUCCUGAGUACGACGGAGCACGUGAAAUUCCGUCGGAAUCUGGGAGGACCAUCUCCUAAGGCUAAAUACUCUCUAGUGACCGAUAGUGAACCAGUACCGUGAGGGAAAGGUGAAAAGCACCCCGGAAGGGGAGUGAAAUAGAACCUGAAACCGUGUGCUUACAAGUAGUCAGAGCCCGUUAAUGGGUGAUGGCGUGCCUUUUGUAGAAUGAACCGGCGAGUUACGAUUUGAUGCAAGGUUAAGCAGUAAAUGUGGAGCCGUAGCGAAAGCGAGUCUGAAUAGGGCGUUUAGUA
RNAcentral lists this ribosomal RNA (551 nucleotides) under Staphylococcus aureus. RNAcentral describes it as "partial 23S ribosomal RNA". It matches the Rfam family "Bacterial large subunit ribosomal RNA", at positions 153 to 701 of the family's 2925-position model. Lineage: Bacteria; Bacillati; Bacillota; Bacilli; Caryophanales; Staphylococcaceae. The record is from RNAcentral.